GAUGAACGCUGGCGGCGUGCCUAAUACAUGCCAGUCGAGCGAACGGACGAGAAGCUUGCUUCUCUGAUGUUAGCGGCGGACGGGUGAGUAACACGUGGAUAACCUACCUAUAAGACUGGGAUAACUUCGGGAAACCGGAGCUAAUACCGGAUAAUAUUUUGAACCGCAUGGUUCAAAAGUGAAAGACGGUCUUGCUGUCACUUAUAGAUGGAUCCGCGCUGCAUUAGCUAGUUGGUAAGGUAACGGCUUACCAAGGCAACGAUGCAUAGCCGACCUGAGAGGGUGAUCGGACACACUGGAACUGAGACACGGUCCAGACUCCUACGGGAGGCAGCAGUAGGGACUCUUCCGCAAUGGGCGAAAGCCUGACGGAGCAACGCCGCGUGAGUGAUGAAGGUCUUCGGAUCGUAAAACUCUGUUAUUAGGGAAGAACAUAUGUGUAAGUAACUGUGCACAUCUUGACGGUACCUAAUCAGAAAGCCACGGCUAACUACGUG
RNAcentral lists this ribosomal RNA (497 nucleotides) under uncultured bacterium. Its description in RNAcentral is "partial 16S ribosomal RNA". It matches the Rfam family "Bacterial small subunit ribosomal RNA", at positions 28 to 507 of the family's 1533-position model. The record is from RNAcentral.